AACGAACGCUGGCGGCAUGCCUAACACAUGCAAGUCGAACGAUGCCUUCGGGCAUAGUGGCGCACGGGUGCGUAACGCGUGGGAAUCUGCCUUUCGGUUCGGAAUAACUCAGGGAAACUUGAGCUAAUACCGGAUAACGUCGCAAGACCAAAGAUUUAUCACCGAAAGAUGAGCCCGCGUAGGAUUAGCUAGUUGGUGAGGUAAAGGCUCACCAAGGCGACGAUCCUUAGCUGGUCUGAGAGGAUGAUCAGCCACACUGGGACUGAGACACGGCCCAGACUCCUACGGGAGGCAGCAGUGGGGAAUAUUGGACAAUGGGCGAGAGCCUGAUCCAGCAAUGCCGCGUGAGUGAUGAAGGCGUUAGGGUUGUAAAGCUCUUUUACACGGGAAGAUAAUGACGGUACCGUGAGAAUAAGCCCCGGCUAACUCCGUG
RNAcentral lists this ribosomal RNA (433 nucleotides) under uncultured bacterium. Its description in RNAcentral is "partial 16S ribosomal RNA". It matches the Rfam family "Bacterial small subunit ribosomal RNA", at positions 29 to 507 of the family's 1533-position model. The record is from RNAcentral.